UACGGAGGGUGCAAGCGUUAAUCGGAAUUACUGGGCGUAAAGCGCACGCAGGUGGCUGAGUCAGUCGAUUGUGAAAGCCCUGGGCUUAACCUGGGAAUUGCAGUCGAUACUACUCAGCUAGAGUAUGGGAGAGGGCAGUGGAAUUCCCGGUGUAGCGGUGAAAUGCGUAGAUAUCGGGAGGAAUACCGGUGGCGAAGGCGGCAUCCUGGACCGACAUUGACGCUGAACGGCGAAAGCUAGGGGAGCAAACGGG
RNAcentral lists this ribosomal RNA (253 nucleotides) under uncultured bacterium. RNAcentral describes it as "partial 16S ribosomal RNA". It matches the Rfam family "Bacterial small subunit ribosomal RNA", at positions 524 to 776 of the family's 1533-position model. The record is from RNAcentral.